This 22-nucleotide unclassified non-coding RNA is filed under the name Mus musculus (house mouse). RNAcentral's name for it is "oocyte_clustered_small_RNA1959". Lineage: Eukaryota; Metazoa; Chordata; Mammalia; Rodentia; Muridae. The record is from RNAcentral.
AUAGGCUGUGAGCCAAGGAGAC